Molecule: long non-coding RNA, 1124 nt
Organism: Cebus imitator (Panamanian white-faced capuchin)
Lineage: Eukaryota; Metazoa; Chordata; Mammalia; Primates; Cebidae
Exons: 3
Source: RefSeq, a predicted model, not a curated record
UCUGCAAGGUGUUUACGGUAACAAGGGAUUGGAAACAACCUAAAUGGCCAUCAGCAGGAGUCUGAAUUAACAGAUGAAUUGCAUAGUCACACCAUAGAAUACCGUGUGGUUUUCUGAAAGGAUGGGCAUUGAGCACUUUGGAGAGAGCGAGCCCCUACCUUCCUCCCGGGCAGAACGGAGCUCAAUGCGGGUCUUCUGAAGGGCUUCCUCUAGCUCUGCACAGCGAGCUUUCUCCUUCUCCAGGGCCAGCUUCAGCUCAUUGUACUGCAGAGGAACCUGUGUGGGCAAAGCAGGGUCCUCUUUCCGUCGACUAAAUAAACCCUAGCAAUGGAAACAGAGAUAUCUCCUAACUCCUGGAAACUGGCACUUGAAACUAGCUAAAGGAAAUCUGACUCGGGAGGAGCAAACCACAAAAGCCAGGAGCAUACUCACUGUAUUCUAAGUCAUCAAGGCCUCCCCCGUAAAACCAUUGCCACUGCCACUAUGGUAUGCUUCUGCAUUUGGAAGGAAACUGCAAGCUCCUCCGAGACUUUUCUGGAACUGAGAACACCUGGCUAAACCUAGUAUGAAGGCUUCAGUGGUUUGGAAAAGCAUGUAUUGAUCAGGCUUAUGAAAAACAAUCUUCUCAUGUGCACUACAUAUAACCCUGCCCCUAGUCUGUCAUCUGUUUGUCUCUUACAAUCUAAAAGGGAUGUUUGGUACUUGGCAGAGGGGAUAACUGUCCAGUCAGACACUACAGGCAGGUCACUCCAGUUCCCUGAGUUCUAGUCUCUUUGUGAGCCAAUCAAAAGGACUGGACUAGACCACUGUUAAAGUCCUUUCUGGAGUGUGGUACAAGGACCUGAACUGCUGAGGCCCUAUCCUCGUGACUUGCUAACUCCCUCUAGAGUCACGUAAGCAUGACUUAGGUAUAAAUCUUUCUCUCUGCAUACACCCCCUCUGCCCCAGCUGCUAUGUGUAUGUGUGGGCUGGGGAGGGAUUACUUCUUUAACAGAGAAAGAUACUACGAUUUCAAUGGCCAUAAACAAAAAGUAGUUUGUUAGACUUGAUCAACGAUAUCUUUUGAUAAGACCUAUUGUAAUUGUCUCAAAAUCUAUUUUUCAACCCAAAAUAAAACAAAAAAA